GUUGGGCUACUCAGAUGGUGAAUAUUAUACAUAUAUACCCACAGUGAAACUCUGUUGUUAUUUGUUGAACUUCAGUUGCUUUCCCGUGUUCUGUACGAUACAAGGUCACCAGGUUCACUGGAGAUGAAUGAAAACAAACGCAAGGAAUACACCUAGUCUAGUUGAUAUUAUUGUGAGACAUAUAGUCUUCUCUCAAUUUUUUAUUGCUUGAAACAAAGAUUCAAGGAAUGGUGUGAACUUAAUUAUCAGGCAUUAUUGAAUGAACGAAUGAACAACAACAUCACAGGACAUCUAACCAAAUGAAUUAUAUAACUGGAAAAAACAUGCGCCUGGAAAUAAAUUAUAACCUGAAGGACUAAAAUGAAAAACAACAACAACAAAUUUGGAUUUUAAAUCUCUCAAAACCAAUAUGGCUUUGUUUGUGUUAUACGUAAUCCUUCUAGCAACGCUGAGUGAUGCGUGUCCGAACAAAUGUACGUGCAAUCGGCAGCGUAAAGAGGUUCACUGUGAACGCAUUGGAUUACCUGGUUUGCCGGAAAACAUUCCUGGGGACACACAACGAUUGUAUUUGUCGGAUAGUGUUUUACCUUCUCUGUCAGCUACUAAUUUCACUG
Molecule: long non-coding RNA, 614 nt
Organism: Saccoglossus kowalevskii
Lineage: Eukaryota; Metazoa; Hemichordata; Enteropneusta; Harrimaniidae
Source: RefSeq, a predicted model, not a curated record